Molecule: long non-coding RNA, 1787 nt
Filed under: Brassica napus (rape)
Lineage: Eukaryota; Viridiplantae; Streptophyta; Magnoliopsida; Brassicales; Brassicaceae
Description: long non-coding RNA (BNAP_LNC003029)
Source: RNAcentral
CAUCAUGGAGUUGACGGAGUUGCUGAGGUUUUUGACUCUCUGUAUGCUUUUCUCCAAGAAGCCUUUUCCUGUGUUUCUCGAGACUGCUGGUUAUUCUCAUGAUGAUGUCCUUCUUCAGAAGCCUAAAGCUGGGGUAUGUCAUUUCUAUUUGAUAUUUUUCCUUCUUGCUAUUACUCGUGAUGAUUAGCUUGUUUAGGGUAACUAUGUGCUUUCUUUCCAACUACUUAAGCACUAUUUGGAUAACUUCUCUUAGGAAUGUGUAUUUUGGGAGAUAAUAAUAUAUCUUCCUCAGAAUGAUUGGUCUUCAGUAUUAAACGUUGGACUUAGUUGCUAGGAAGAGUUUUAUUAGUAGAUUUUUUUUUUUCUUUGAUAUAACGACCAUCAUGCUGGUCAACAUGGAAAUUAAAAUCAAGGGGAAGCUUGAAAAUAGAUCAGCGCCAAUUGUUUUUGUCUGGUUGGCAUUUUUAUACUUUGCGAGUUCUGUUUAAUUUUUAUUUAAUUUAUUUCCGGAUCCAUGAUCAGUUGGUUUUUGGGUCCUGUAGGUCUCCGACGCAUUCUACGCCCACCACCACCAGUACCACGUCCCACGUUUUCACGCGCCUGAACCUGCUUCGAAUAACCCAUCGAACAAAAAAAGUCAAAUCCAUUUCGCUAACAAUGAAAUUAAAAGUUGAGAACUUUACCUGCGGAGGUGGUGCUGCAUCUUCCUCACGUGAUCUGCUACUAUCUACCCGACGUUUCCAUAAGAACAAAGGGAUCACCGCAGCUAUGAGGAUCAUGGAGACUAUCAGAGCGAAGAUCUCCUCCAUCUCUUUACCUGCGAUCGAGAAAAAAAGGGGAAUUUGAAGGAAAUGUUGAGACAAAGCCAAACGAGGAUGAUGAAAUUGAAAGAGGUUUGAUUCAGAUGAUGAUUACGAAAUUAACCUAAUUGAGUUUCUUUUCACGCUUUGUUGUCUUCUCUAUGCUCGAGGAUUGCAGAAACUCUCGAUUAGAGAAGAAAGACAAUCAACGCGGGGUUAAUUUCGUAAUUUACAACUUUCGAACACUCUGGGGCCGUCAGAGUCUUUCGUGCCUUUCCGGCCGAGGUUAUAAAUAAGAUCAAUGAACACCGGUUCGGUUUAGGAGUCCUCUAUUGGAUCACUGGUCCUUUUUAAAGUUACAAACACACAAAUAGUAGUAAGAUUGUGAUUCAACAAUUUCAUAUCUAUUUUAUUAAACAAGUAACAAGAGUAACACAAAGUACAUAAGAUGGUAGUCUCUUAGUAUCAUACCGAGUCUAGAUCGAAACAAAACCAAGCAACACAAGAGAUCAAAGAAGAAGGUUGAGGAAAUGUUUUGGAAAGGGAGGGAGAACGAUAGUGAUACACUAUAACAGAACAAAGCAAACGGACUAGGGACAAUGCAGCUCAGAAACCAUGGAUCUUGAUGUUGUCCUUCUUCACUAGGCCAGCCUGUUUUCCAAGAAAAGAAGUAAAGAGCAAUGAGAUUAAUGCAACAAUGUUUAGGUUUUGUCCGUGAAAGAAGGUGAUCAUUACCUGGACACAGCCUGCCUUCACGAUCAUACGUGAUACCAAUUCAAAAUGUUUCCUGCUACUGAUACGUGGCACUCAUAGCAUCAAAGAUACACUUACAGCGGCAACUGGUGCAGUGGUCCCGUUCCAUCAUUCAGUGUUGCAUGAUGGUGGUCUAAGCAACUUAGUUUUAGGUUAUGCACAUUGCGGAAUGGUUGCUGCAGCUCGUUGGAUUGCUAAACUUAGUGUUCCGUGCCUCAUCAAGGCCCUUAAUGA